UGGGGAAUAUUGCACACUGGGCGCAAGCCUGAUGCAGCCAUGCCGCGUGUAUGAAGAAGGCCUUCGGGUUGUAAAGUACUUUCAGCGAGGAGGAAGGCGUUGUGGUUAAUAACCGCAACGAUUGACGUUACUCGCAGAAGAAGCACCGGCUAACUCCGUGCCAGCAGCCGCGGUAAUACGGAGGGUGCAAGCGUUAAUCGGAAUUACUGGGCGUAAAGCGCACGCAGGCGGUCUGUCAAGUCGGAUGUGAAAUCCCCGGGCUCAACCUGGGAACUGCAUCCGAAACUGGCAGGCUAGAGUCUUGUAGAGGGGGGUAGAAUUCCAGGUGUAGCGGUGAAAUGCGUAGAGAUCUGGAGGAAUACCGGUGGCGAAGGCGGCCCCCUGGACAAAGACUGACGCUCAGGUGCGAAAGCGUGGGGAGCAAACA
RNAcentral lists this ribosomal RNA (427 nucleotides) under uncultured bacterium. RNAcentral's name for it is "partial 16S ribosomal RNA". It matches the Rfam family "Bacterial small subunit ribosomal RNA", at positions 355 to 774 of the family's 1533-position model. The record is from RNAcentral.